This 298-nucleotide ribosomal RNA is filed under the name Ooperipatellus sp. DNA104629. RNAcentral's name for it is "partial 12S ribosomal RNA". Lineage: Eukaryota; Metazoa; Onychophora; Udeonychophora; Euonychophora; Peripatopsidae. The record is from RNAcentral.
UUAUGAACUUAAAAUUUUGACGGUAUUUAAUUUUCUAGAGGAGUAUGUAAUUUAAUCGUCAAUACCCGUUAAAUCUUACUUAUUUUCUUUUUGUAUAUCUCCGUUGUCAGAUUUUAUUUAAAAUAAAAGAAAUUCUCAAAAUAAAAAAUUUUAAUACUUCAGGUCAAGGUGCAAAUAUAUAAGUUAUUAUGUACUACAAUCAAUAUAAUGAAUUGGAUUUUUAUAUGAAAAGAUUUUUGAAAUUGAAUUUAUAAGUAAAAAUAGAUAUAAAGCUUAUUUGAAAUUUUAUUAAAUAUGU